Ornithorhynchus anatinus (platypus) is the source of this 273-nucleotide long non-coding RNA. RefSeq lists it as uncharacterized. The transcript is spliced from 2 exons. The record is from RefSeq and is a predicted model, not a curated record. Lineage: Eukaryota; Metazoa; Chordata; Mammalia; Monotremata; Ornithorhynchidae.
GUGUCCUUGGCGCUUUGAAGAGAGGCAGAAAAGCCAGUGAGGAAAGGAUCCAAAUGAUGUUUUUCCGUCUGCCAAAUGGAGACAGCAAUGGAUGUACCGUCCACCCUGGGAAAGAGUGAAGAUUAAUCAAGCUUGAGGCUUACUUAGGCGAGACUUUAAGCUCUAAAGGAGAGAAGGGAACUGGACUUUAUCAGUGCAGCAUCUUCAAUUUUGUGGAACAAGAAAUUAGCCGUGCAUCAUAGCUGUAAAUAAAUGGAGGGUGAUACCUGUUGA